This 338-nucleotide ribosomal RNA is filed under the name Acidimicrobiales bacterium. RNAcentral describes it as "bacterial SSU rRNA". It matches the Rfam family "Bacterial small subunit ribosomal RNA", at positions 1 to 331 of the family's 1533-position model. Lineage: Bacteria; Bacillati; Actinomycetota; Acidimicrobiia; Acidimicrobiales. The record is from RNAcentral.
UCAAUGGAGAGUUUGAUCCUGGCUCAGGACGAACGCUGGCGGCGUGCCUAACACAUGCAAGUCGAACGAGAUCCAUCCGGUAGCAAUACUGGUGAAGAUCAAGUGGCGAACGGGUGAGUAGCACGUGAGCAACCUGCCCCGAUGACCGGGACAACACCGGGAAACCGGUGCUAAUACCGGAUAUCCCCACCGAGUCGCAUGGCUUGGUGAGGAAAUGGAUUCCGCUUCGGGAGGGGCUCGCGGCCUAUCAGCUUGUUGGUGAGGUAACGGCUCACCAAGGCUUCGACGGGUAGCUGGUCUGAGAGGACGAUCAGCCACACUGGGACUGAGACACGGCC